AAUCAACGCUGGCGGCGUGCCUCAGACAUGCAAGUCGAACGCGAAAGUCCCCUUCGGGGGACAAGUAGAGUGGCGCACGGGUGAGUAACACGUAGGUAAUCUACCUUUGGAUGGGGAAUAACAACCGGAAACGGUUGCUAAUACCGCAUAAUGCAGCGGCACCUAAUGGUGACAGUUGUUAAAGCGGGGGAUCGAAAGACCUCGCGUCUAAAGAGGAGCCUGCGGCGGAUUAGCUAGUUGGUAAGGAAUGGCUUACCAAGGCUACGAUCCGUAACCGGCCUGAGAGGGCGGUCGGUCACACUGACACUGACAUACGGGUCAGACUCCUACGGGAGGCAGCAGUCGGGAAUUUUGGGCAAUGGGCGAAAGCCUGACCCAGCAACGCCGCGUGAAGGAUGAAAUCCCUCGGGAUGUAAAC
This 418-nucleotide ribosomal RNA is filed under the name uncultured bacterium. RNAcentral's name for it is "bacterial SSU rRNA". It matches the Rfam family "Bacterial small subunit ribosomal RNA", at positions 32 to 430 of the family's 1533-position model. The record is from RNAcentral.